CAGAGAGGCUGUACCAGAAUUAACUCUGCUCAGAGUUAGAUUUGCUGGUCUUAAAGUACUUUUCCUCUUCAAGAUAAAAGAAGUUCUUCUAAAUCAGGAAUGGACUGAAAUCUAAUGAACCCAAACUUUGGGUAAUUGAUCACCCUAGACCCAGGGACACCCAAUUCAUCGUAAUCAUCAUGAAUAACCAAAAAGUGGUAGCUGUGCUACUGCAAGAGUGCAAACAAGUGCUGGACCAGCUCUUGUUGGAAGCGCCAGAUGUGUCGGAAGAGGACAAGAGCGAGGACCAGCGCUGCAGAGCUUUACUCCCCAGCGAGUUAAGGACCCUGAUCCAGGAGGCAAAGGAAAUGAAGUGGCCCUUCGUGCCUGAAAAGUGGCAGUACAAACAAGCCGUGGGCCCAGAGGACAAAACAAACCUGAAGGAUGUGAUUGGCGCCGGGUUACAGCAGUUACUGGUAGGAAGAGCCACACCACCUGUUCCUCUGAUAUCCCCAAGUAAGGCAUUUAGACUCUAAGUGGUCUAAUAGAUUAAAUUUCUUUGACGCACAAGACAGCCCCCUACCCUUAUGCUCAGCUCUGCCAGAUUGACUAAUGUGGGGGAAAUAGCUGUUUGAAAAACAUUGCUUGCCCAUAACAUCUUGUGUUGUAAAGCCAAAUCCAGUAAAAGUGAAGAGUGGUCAGUGGGUCUAACAUGAACCCUGUCAUCUUGAAAUAUUUACAUAUCCUUUGUGGGCCAAAGAAGCAGAUUUGAUUUCACCAUUCCUCACAGCAUUUUAAUUUUGAAAUGCUACUUUCUAAAAGUUAGGUAGCUUAAAAAAAUAAAUGCACCCUUGUUUCAUCAGUGUGACUUGCUGUCUAAGCUAUUGAAGUCUGGUAUAUUCCUUCCCUGAGCCCCACCUAGGGUCCUGUUGACUUUCUUAUAUCCUCAAGAUUAAGGCUGUUCAGGAAGCAUCAAGUCAAAGUCAUUGACACACUUAUUUCUCAACUCAUUUAUUGGAAAUUAAUUGAACUGGUACCUCUAUGCCAGAUAGAAGAGAGCCUGAGGAGUAGCACAGGAACUCAGAUUGCAGCUCAGGAUUCAGGCUUUGGUUCUGGGGGUGACAUAGGGAGAACCAUUUUCCUGUUUGAUAGCAUUGCUUUUUACCCACAUUCUCUCAGAUGAUUGUCAAGGAAGAAAGCUUGCUAGUUUAUAUAUAUAUAUCUUUUCUCAAAUAAAAAAUAUAUUUGUCAGGCAUUAAAACAUGACAAUAUCCUAAAAUUUUUACUUUAUUGGUUUACGUAAGAUUGUAUUUUUGAGUCAUCCCAAAAUAAAUAUAUAGACAUUGUCUUUGCCCAUUCAAGCAAAAAUCUAAGAAAGACCACCUGAUCUAUAGACACACAAGAACAUCUUUAGAGACUUAAUAGAAACAGUAAAACCCCAAUUCUCUCAUCCUCCUAAAAAACAAACAAAACAGGUUAAGCAGACUGGGGAUUGCAAGCAAAGGAAAGUGAAUACUUAAGGAGAACACAAUGGUGAGCCAGGGUUUUAAAUAAAUGUGGUCAGUAUUAGUGGAAAAGUAGAAUAAAGUAAUAACUAUAACUUAACUGUCACUAUAGAGUUUACAAAGUGCUUGUAACACUUUACAGAGUGAUUCAGAUGCUCUUUGACUUACAAACGAGUUGCCCCCAGUAAAUCCAUCAUAAGUUGGAAAUAUAAUAAGUCAAAAAUAUUAUACAUUAAAAAUGCAUUUACUAUACCUAACCUACUAAACAUCAUAGCUUAGCUUAGCCUACCUUAAGCAAGCUGAGAACCCUUACAUUAGUAUACAGUUGGGCAAAAUCAUCUAAUAUAAUGCCUAUUUUGUAAUAAGGUAUUGAAUAUUUUGUGUAAUUUAGUGAAUACUGUGCUGCAAGCGAAAAACAGAAUGAUUGUAUUCUACUAAAUGUAUAUUGCUCUCACACCAUCGUAAAGUAAAAAAAUCCUAAGUUGAACCAUUGUAAGUUGGGGUUCUCCUGUAUUACCAUUAUCAUCCCUCUUUUACGAACAAGGAAAUUAAGGUGCAGAGAGAUUAAUUUGCCCAGGGGAACAGACCAGUAAGUGGUGAAAUUGUGACUUACAACCUUCUCCUUCAUCCAACUCCAGUUCUCCAUCAGGAAGCACCAAGUGAAGUGCUUGAAAAAACAGGUAGAAGCCAUGAGGUUUACUUAGUGUAUCUAAAGAAGGCUGUAGGCUGUCCAGUAACACUUUUUGUAUUGAUGAUGGAAAUGUUCUACAGCUGUGCUGUUCAAUAUGGUAGCCACUAGCUACAGAUGGCUCUCAAGCACUUGAAAUGUGGUGAAUGGAACCGAAGAACUGAAUUUCUAUUUUAGCUAUUUUUUAUUCAUUUCUAUGUAAAUAGUCACAUGUGGCCAGGGCUGCCAUUUUAUUGGACAGUGCAGCUCUAAAGCAGCGGCUAUAAAUGUGAGACCUCCCAACAAUAGAUUAGCAUCACCUGAAGUCUGGUCAGAAAUUCAAAUUCUUGGGUGCAAAUCAAAAACCCUUACUGAAUCAAACACCCUGGGGGCGGGAAUCCAGCAAUCAGCAUUAGACAAGCCCUCCAGAUGAUUCUGAUGCUAAAGUUUGAGAGCCACUGUUCGCAGGGAAGAGUAGAGUGGCAAGCAAGGGGGAAGGGCAGAGAGCCUGAAUGGGGAUAUAGUGGAGAGGGUCAAGGUAAGGAGUAAGGAGAAUCCAGUGAGAAGGCUGUAGGAGACCAAUCCAAUUAAAAAAAAAA
RNAcentral lists this small RNA (2750 nucleotides) under Pongo abelii (Sumatran orangutan). Its description in RNAcentral is "retained intron". The record is from RNAcentral. Lineage: Eukaryota; Metazoa; Chordata; Mammalia; Primates; Hominidae.